Molecule: ribosomal RNA, 791 nt
Filed under: Escherichia coli
Lineage: Bacteria; Pseudomonadati; Pseudomonadota; Gammaproteobacteria; Enterobacterales; Enterobacteriaceae
Description: partial 23S ribosomal RNA
Rfam family: Bacterial large subunit ribosomal RNA
Source: RNAcentral
UGAUGGCCAGGCUGUCUCCACCCGAGACUCAGUGAAAUUGAACUCGCUGUGAAGAUGCAGUGUACCCGCGGCAAGACGGAAAGACCCCGUGAACCUUUACUAUAGCUUGACACUGAACAUUGAGCCUUGAUGUGUAGGAUAGGUGGGAGGCUUUGAAGUGUGGACGCCAGUCUGCAUGGAGCCGACCUUGAAAUACCACCCUUUAAUGUUUGAUGUUCUAACGUUGACCCGUAAUCCGGGUUGCGGACAGUGUCUGGUGGGUAGUUUGACUGGGGCGGUCUCCUCCUAAAGAGUAACGGAGGAGCACGAAGGUUGGCUAAUCCUGGUCGGACAUCAGGAGGUUAGUGCAAUGGCAUAAGCCAGCUUGACUGCGAGCGUGACGGCGCGAGCAGGUGCGAAAGCAGGUCAUAGUGAUCCGGUGGUUCUGAAUGGAAGGGCCAUCGCUCAACGGAUAAAAGGUACUCCGGGGAUAACAGGCUGAUACCGCCCAAGAGUUCAUAUCGACGGCGGUGUUUGGCACCUCGAUGUCGGCUCAUCACAUCCUGGGGCUGAAGUAGGUCCCAAGGGUAUGGCUGUUCGCCAUUUAAAGUGGUACGCGAGCUGGGUUUAGAACGUCGUGAGACAGUUCGGUCCCUAUCUGCCGUGGGCGCUGGAGAACUGAGGGGGGCUGCUCCUAGUACGAGAGGACCGGAGUGGACGCAUCACUGGUGUUCGGGUUGUCAUGCCAAUGGCACUGCCCGGUAGCUAAAUGCGGAAGAGAUAAGUGCUGAAAGCAUCUAAGCACGAAACUU